AUGCGGAAUCACUCGGAAAUCCGGCGAUCCGACAAAUGUCUCCUCCGGUGGGGGUGCGACAAGGCGGAACAACCACAACAGGAGCUGGCGCUGGCUUCAGGCUUCAACAUGGAGGAUGCGGAGGCUGAGUUCACCGUUGCCCAAGCGACCGAGAUGGCGGAGCAGCAGGCAAUCCGGGAGUCCAUCCAGUAUGAGGCCUAUGUAGAGGCCAAUCCGCAGUUCAUCCGACAGGAACUGGUGGCGACCGGUGCGCUCUUUGACGAGGACGAAGCAGAGAUUGAUGCAGAGGCCGACGCGGAGGAGCCGGGGAGCUAG
This 315-nucleotide ribosomal RNA is filed under the name Triticum aestivum (bread wheat). RNAcentral's name for it is "partial small subunit ribosomal RNA". Lineage: Eukaryota; Viridiplantae; Streptophyta; Magnoliopsida; Poales; Poaceae. The record is from RNAcentral.